Molecule: ribosomal RNA, 459 nt
Filed under: uncultured bacterium
Lineage: Bacteria
Description: SSU rRNA
Rfam family: Bacterial small subunit ribosomal RNA
Source: RNAcentral
AGAAUCAACGCUGGCGACGUGCCUAACACAUGCAAGUCGAACGAGAAAGUGGAGCAAUCCAUGAGUAAAGUGGCGCACGGGUGAGUAACACGUGACUAACCUACCCUUGAGUGGGGAAUAACUUCGGGAAACCGAGGCUAAUACCGCAUAACACCUACGGGUCAAAGGAGCAAUUCGCUUAAGGAGGGGGUCGCGGCAGAUUAGUUAGUUGGCGGGGUAAUGGCCCACCAAGACGGUGAUCUGUAUCCGGCCUGAGAGGGCGCACGGACACACUGGAACUGAAACACGGUCCAGACUCCUACGGGAGGCAGCAGUGGGGAAUUUUGCGCAAUGGGGGAAACCCUGACGCAGCAACGCCGCGUGGAGGAUGAAGUCCCUUGGGACGUAAACUCCUUUCGAUCGGGACGAUUAUGACGGUACCGGAAGAAGAAGCCCGGCUAACUUCGCGCCAGCAGCCGC